AGUUUAUAAAAAAAAAUAAAUUGCUAAUUUAUUUAUAUUCAUUAACUGAAUUAAACUUGU
Molecule: transfer RNA, 60 nt
Filed under: Didemnum vexillum
Lineage: Eukaryota; Metazoa; Chordata; Ascidiacea; Aplousobranchia; Didemnidae
Description: tRNA-Ser
Source: RNAcentral